UACGUAGGGGGCAAGCGUUGUCCGGAUUUAUUGGGCGUAAAGAGCGUGUAGGCGGCUUUACAGGUCCGUUGUGAAAACUCGAGGCUCAACCUCGAGACGCCGGUGGAAACCGUAAAGCUAGAGUCCGGAAGAGGAGAGUGGAAUUCCUGGUGUAGCGGUGAAAUGCGCAGAUAUCAGGAGGAACACCCGUGGCGAAAGCGGCUCUCUGGGCCGUAACUGACGCUGAGGAGCGAAAGCGUGGGGAGCGAACAGG
This 253-nucleotide ribosomal RNA is filed under the name uncultured bacterium. RNAcentral describes it as "partial 16S ribosomal RNA". It matches the Rfam family "Bacterial small subunit ribosomal RNA", at positions 524 to 776 of the family's 1533-position model. The record is from RNAcentral.